GUCAUUUAAAACCAAGCGAAAAGUAUUGAUCUAUUUAUAUGCUCAUAUGUACUGAUAAUUUUAAAAGUAUUUGUUUUGCUUUCCAUACUUAGUUCCUUAUUGUUAAUUUUCCUUUUUUGGAUGGUGAUGUUCCUUUGGCACUAUCUUACGGUGUUUGUAUAUCACAACACCUCCGAUAUGCCCGUGUCUGUUGUAACGUUUUGGAUUUUAAUGAACGAAAUCUAUGUAUUACUGGUAAAUUAUCAAGUCAGGGAUUUCGUUAACACAAAUCAUUUAAAAUCUUUACUAAAUUUUAGAUUUGGUUUUGAAGUUUGGUUCUACCUGUAGAAAACUUAUUUCAAACGGGAUAGCACAUCCUCAUUUUUACGGAGAUGUUGUUUACCGUGCCAUUGGAU
RNAcentral lists this long non-coding RNA (395 nucleotides) under Mytilus galloprovincialis (Mediterranean mussel). Lineage: Eukaryota; Metazoa; Mollusca; Bivalvia; Mytilida; Mytilidae. The record is from RNAcentral.